AAGUCGUAACAAGGUUUCCGUAGGUGAACCUGCGGAAGGAUCAUUAACACUGUUUUAACUUACAGUUUUAAAACUCAAAACUCGUGAACAGGCUCUUAACCGAGUCUCCCUCUCCCCUAUUUUUUAUUAAAACCCCAACACCUUCACUUUAUCUUCCGCAAGGAAAUGAACUGAACAAAUACAAACAACGAAAAAACAUUUCUCUCGGGAUUUGUUACUAGUUAAUGAAAUGCUGAACAACUCUUAACAACGGAUAUCUUGGUUCUC
This 267-nucleotide unclassified non-coding RNA is filed under the name fungal sp. RNAcentral describes it as "partial internal transcribed spacer region". The stretch from base 1 to 46 matches the Rfam family "Eukaryotic small subunit ribosomal RNA", at positions 1786 to 1831 of the family's 1831-position model. Lineage: Eukaryota; Fungi. The record is from RNAcentral.